CCUUUUCUUCCUCUCCCUUCCCUCUUUCGAGCGCCAUCUUCAUCGCCCUUGAUCGCCCUUUUUGAAGCUCGUAUACAGAUCGUUCAUUCAGAAGCUCAUAUGCAGAUUUCAUGCUAAGGAAUAUAAUCCUAUUUGUUACAAGUCCACUUCUCCUGCUGCAUUUUAAGAACCUGCUGAAUUAGGUCGUAUCCAAUGGGCUCUAGGGAGUGGAUAACUCUACAUUACCCAGACCCACAAUUUGUAGAUGGUAUGAUGAGCUUUGUGAAGUUCGUAAAAGAACAUCUUCCUAGUAGAGAAUCCAUUCAUUGUCCAUGUACCAGAUGCAAAUGUCUACGUUUAC
Magnolia sinica is the source of this 340-nucleotide long non-coding RNA. RefSeq lists it as uncharacterized. The record is from RefSeq and is a predicted model, not a curated record. NCBI's taxonomy places the organism in Eukaryota, Viridiplantae, Streptophyta, Magnoliopsida, Magnoliales, Magnoliaceae. The transcript has 3 exons.